Molecule: ribosomal RNA, 502 nt
Filed under: uncultured bacterium
Lineage: Bacteria
Description: partial 16S ribosomal RNA
Rfam family: Bacterial small subunit ribosomal RNA
Source: RNAcentral
AUUGAACGCUGGCGGCAUGCCUUACACAUGCAAGUCGAACGGCAGCACGGGAGCUUGCUCCUGGUGGCGAGUGGCGAACGGGUGAGUAAUACAUCGGAACGUACCCAGUAGUGGGGGAUAACGCACCGAAAGGUGCGCUAAUACCGCAUACGACCUAAGGGUGAAAGCGGGGGACCGUAAGGCCUCGCGCUAUUGGAGCGGCCGAUGUCUGAUUAGCUAGUUGGUGAGGUAAAGGCUCACCAAGGCUUCGAUCAGUAGCUGGUCUGAGAGAACGAUCAGCCACACUGGGACUGAGACACGGCCCAGACUCCUACGGGAGGCAGCAGUGGGGAAUUUUGGACAAUGGGCGAAAGCCUGAUCCAGCAAUGCCGCGUGUGCGAAGAAGGCCUUCGGGUUGUAAAGCACUUUUGUCAGGGAAGAAAUCUUUUAGGCUAAUACCUUGGAAGGAUGACGGUACCUGAAGAAUAAGCACCGGCUAACUACGUGCCAGCCGCCGCCGUAA